AGUAUCAAUUGGCUGUUGUAACAGAAUAUAAAAAUCAUAUAGACAAAUUAUUAACAGAAACCAUUAAAAAAAAUAAUGAUGAUAAGGAGCAAUUUAAGGAUAUAAUAGAAAAUUGUAUAGCCAUGAAGCAGCAGGCUGCCAUAUGUCAGGUGAACAUAAACAAGAUGUGCAAAAAUCUGCAAAACAAUAGUCAAUUUGAAGAUCUUCAAGGGGCAUGUAGAUCUGUUAAAGAAAAGUAUGAUAUAUUAAUAAAAGGAAUGGAAAACGUAAAGCUGCCCUCAUAAAAAUACAUUUGAGUGCAAUAUAUUGAAUAAUUUUGUGUUCCCGUAUUUAAUAAACAAUAUUAUAAAAA
This is a long non-coding RNA of Leptidea sinapis, 352 nucleotides long. RefSeq lists it as uncharacterized. Lineage: Eukaryota; Metazoa; Arthropoda; Insecta; Lepidoptera; Pieridae. The record is from RefSeq and is a predicted model, not a curated record. The transcript has 3 exons.